This 822-nucleotide ribosomal RNA is filed under the name uncultured bacterium. RNAcentral's name for it is "bacterial SSU rRNA". It matches the Rfam family "Bacterial small subunit ribosomal RNA", at positions 28 to 896 of the family's 1533-position model. The record is from RNAcentral.
GAUGAACGCUGGCGGCGUGCUUAACACAUGCAAGUCGAACGAACCUUCGGGUUAGUGGCGGACGGGUGAGUAACGCGUGAGAAUCUGCCCUCAGGAGGGGGACAACAGCUGGAAACGGCUGCUAAUACCCCAUAUGCCGAGAGGUGAAACGAAUUUCGCCUGAGGAUGAGCUCGCGUCUGAUUAGCUAGUUGGUGUGGUAAAGGUGCACCAAGGCAUCGAUCAGUAGCUGGUCUGAGAGGAUGAUCAGCCACACUGGGACUGAGACACGGCCCAGACUCCUACGGGAGGCAGCAGUGGGGAAUUUUCCGCAAUGGGCGAAAGCCUGACGGAGCAACGCCGCGUGAGGGAUGAAGGCCUCUGGGCUGUAAACCUCUUUUCUCAAGGAAGAAGAUCUGACGGUACUUGAGGAAUAAGCCACGGCUAAUUCCGUGCCAGCAGCCGCGGUAAUACGGGAGUGGCAAGCGUUAUCCGGAAUUAUUGGGCGUAAAGCGUCCGCAGGCGGCCCAUCAAGUCUGCUGUUAAAAAGUGGAGCUUAACUCCAUCAUGGCAGUGGAAACUGUUGGGCUAGAGUGUGGUAGGGGCAGAGGGAACUCCCGGUGUAGCGGUGAAAUGCGUAGAUAUCGGGAAGAACACCAGUGGCGAAGGCGCUCUGCUGGGCCAUAACUGACGCUCAUGGACGAAAGCCAGGGGAGCGAAAGGGAUUAGAUACCCCUGUAGUCCUGGCCGUAAACGAUGAACACUAGGUGUCGGGGGAAUCGACCCCCUCGGUGUCGUAGCCAACGCGUUAAGUGUUCCGCCUGGGGAGUACGCACGCAAGUGUG